GAGAUGGAUUGUGGCCUUCGGGAACGUCUGACACAGGUGCUGCAUGGCUGUCGUCAGCUCGUGUCGUGAGAUGUUGGGUUAAGUCCGUAACGAGCGCAACCCUUGUCCUUAGUUACCAGCACGUUAUGGUGGGCACUCUAAGGAGACUGCCGGUGACAAACCGGAGGAAGGUGGGGGAUGACGUCAAGUCAUCAUGGCCCUUACGGCCUGGGCUACACACGUGCUACAAUGGUCGGUACAAAGGGUUGCCAAGCCGCGAGGUGGAGCUAAUCCCAUAAAACCGAUCGUAGUCCGGAUCGCAGUCUGCAACUCGACUGCGUGAAGUCGGAAUCGCUAGUAAUCGUGAAUCAGAAUGUCACGGUGAAUACGUUCCCGGGCCUU
Molecule: ribosomal RNA, 381 nt
Filed under: uncultured Pseudomonas sp.
Lineage: Bacteria; Pseudomonadati; Pseudomonadota; Gammaproteobacteria; Pseudomonadales; Pseudomonadaceae
Description: bacterial SSU rRNA
Rfam family: Bacterial small subunit ribosomal RNA
Source: RNAcentral